CAGUAGCCGCGGUAAUACGGAGGGGGCUAGCGUUAUUCGGAAUUACUGGGCGUAAAGCGCACGUAGGCGGCUUCGCAAGUCAGAGGUGAACGCCUGGGGCUCGACUCCAGAAUUGCCUCUGAGACUGCGUCGCUCGAAUCCGGGAGAGGUGAGUGGAAUUCCGAGUGUAGAGGUGAAAUUCGUAGAUAUUCGGAAGAACACCAGUGGCGAAGGCGGCUCACUGGACCGGCAUUGACGCUGAGGUGCGAAAGCGUGGGGAGCAAACAGGAUUAGAUACCCCUGUAGUCCCUGUCUCUUAUAC
This 301-nucleotide ribosomal RNA is filed under the name uncultured bacterium. RNAcentral describes it as "partial 16S ribosomal RNA". It matches the Rfam family "Bacterial small subunit ribosomal RNA", at positions 509 to 807 of the family's 1533-position model. The record is from RNAcentral.